RNAcentral lists this ribosomal RNA (253 nucleotides) under uncultured bacterium. RNAcentral's name for it is "partial 16S ribosomal RNA". It matches the Rfam family "Bacterial small subunit ribosomal RNA", at positions 524 to 776 of the family's 1533-position model. The record is from RNAcentral.
UACGUAGGUGGCAAGCGUUGUCCGGAAUUACUGGGUGUAAAGGGCGUGUAGGCGGGGGAACAAGUCAGAUGUGAAAUCCCGAGGCUUAACUUCGGAGAUGUAUCUGAAACUGUUCUUCUUGAGUGUCAGAGAGGAAAAGGGAAUUCCCAGUGUAGCGGUGAAAUGCGUAGAGAUUGGGAGGAACAUCAGUGGCGAAGGAGGCUGUCUGGACGAUAACUGAGGCUGAGGCGCUUAAGCGUGGUGAGCAAACAGG